Molecule: long non-coding RNA, 451 nt
Filed under: Bos indicus x Bos taurus (hybrid cattle)
Lineage: Eukaryota; Metazoa; Chordata; Mammalia; Artiodactyla; Bovidae
Description: lncRNA (ENSBIXG00000025529.1)
Source: RNAcentral
AUGAAGUUUGCAUGGAGGGCUGGCCAGCAAGUCCCUGCUCCUGCCCUUGGCUCUCCCCAAGGUCAUCCCAGGUCACCAAGAUUCUUCCCGACUGAGAUGUGUUGCUCUUGCAGACCAAGAUGUUUAUUAAUUCUUCUAAUUCAAUACAUUCUUUGUCUACCAAGAAAACAGGAUAUACCAAGCUUGCAUUACCACAUGCAGAAUCUCUUACAAGUUGCAAGGCCGUGGGAGUUGGAAGACCUGGACUUGCUGCAAAUGUUCCUGGCAAUCUUGGACAAGCUCCUUAUCCUUCUUGUGUUGAUAAUCAUAAAAGACAUGCCUUACUGAGUCAUUUACCUCUUCAAGUCUCUGAUUACUUUAACCACUCAUAAUGGUCCUUUGAGGUAAGUAAGAUUUUAACCCUCCCUUUUACAGAUGAGGAAGCUGAGUUUGGAGAGAUUUAAUAACUUGU